Molecule: transfer RNA, 71 nt
Filed under: Bos taurus (domestic cattle)
Lineage: Eukaryota; Metazoa; Chordata; Mammalia; Artiodactyla; Bovidae
Also listed under: 4 other names
Rfam family: tRNA
About the family: Transfer RNA (tRNA) molecules are approximately 80 nucleotides in length. Their secondary structure includes four short double-helical elements and three loops (D, anti-codon, and T loops). Further hydrogen bonds mediate the characteristic L-shaped molecular structure. tRNAs have two regions of fundamental functional importance: the anti-codon, which is responsible for specific mRNA codon recognition, and the 3' end, to which the tRNAs corresponding amino acid is attached (by aminoacyl-tRNA synthetases). tRNAs cope with the degeneracy of the genetic code in two manners: having more than one tRNA (with a specific anti-codon) for a particular amino acid; and 'wobble' base-pairing, i.e. permitting non-standard base-pairing at the 3rd anti-codon position.
Source: Rfam by way of RNAcentral
UCCUGGGUGGCUCAGAGGUAAAGAAUCUGCCUAUGAUGCAGGAGACCCAGGUUCGAUCCCUGGGUUGGGAA